UACGGGAGGCAGCAGUGGGGAAUAUUGCACAAUGGGCGCAAGCCUGAUGCAGCCAUGCCGCGUGUAUGAAGAAGGCCUUCGGGUUGUAAAGUACUUUCAGUCGUGAGGAAGGUGUUAAGGUUAAUAACCUUAGCAAUUGACGUUAGCGACAGAAGAAGCACCGGCUAACUCCGUGCCAGCAGCCGCGGUAAUACGGAGGGUGCGAGCGUUAAUCGGAAUUACUGGGCGUAAAGGGCACGCAGGCGGUUAAUUAAGUUGGAUGUGAAAUCCCCGGGCUUAACCUGGGAAUGGCAUUCAAGACUGGUUAGCUAGAGUCUUGUAGAGGGGGUAGAAUUCCGAUGUGUAGCGGUGAAAUGCGUAGAGAUGUGGAGGAAUACCGGUGGCGAAGGCGGCCCCUGGACAAAGGACUGACGCUCAUGUGCGAAAGCGUGGGGAGCGAAACAGGGAUUAGAU
Molecule: ribosomal RNA, 453 nt
Filed under: uncultured bacterium
Lineage: Bacteria
Description: bacterial SSU rRNA
Rfam family: Bacterial small subunit ribosomal RNA
Source: RNAcentral